RNAcentral lists this ribosomal RNA (252 nucleotides) under uncultured bacterium. Its description in RNAcentral is "partial 16S ribosomal RNA". It matches the Rfam family "Bacterial small subunit ribosomal RNA", at positions 524 to 776 of the family's 1533-position model. The record is from RNAcentral.
UACGGGGGGAGCAAGCGUUGUUCGGAUUUACUGGGCGUAAAGGGCGCGUAGGCGGCCACCGCAAGUCGACUGUGAAAUCUCCGGGCUUAACCCGGAAAGGUCAGCCGAUACUGCGGGGCUAGAGUGCAGAAGGGGCAACUGGAAUUCUCGGUGUAGGUGAAAUGCGUAGAUAUCGAGAGGAACACCUGCGGCGAAGGCGGGUUGCUGGGCUGACACUGACGCUGAGGCGCGAAAGCUAGGGGAGCGAACGGG